AUUCAUUGUCAGCCGCUUGGGCUUCCCCGCGGAGUGCGAUGAUGAGGGGUUUCGGCUUCGUGUCACGCCUUCGCUGCGGUAUGUACUGGAGCGGUCGGCGUGCACUUCUCCCCUAGUAGGACGUCGCGACCCGUUGGGUGUUGGUCUACGGCCCGGUAGGUCGACUGAUGCGUCGCGUUCACGCGCGUCUCGCGUCAGACCUCUGGAUGCCUGACCGGCUGCCCGGCGGUAUUGAACGAUAAUUAAACGGUAUUGGGCCGCACCAAGUGCGUUCAGGCUCGUCGACAGGCUCACCUCGCUCGGAUUUACGGACCUAGUGCCGUUGCCGGGUGCUUGGUGUGGCUGUUGGUCGACGAUGUCCUCGGACUGGCUCUAUAUAUUCGAACGGAUAUACCGGUCGGCGACGCUUUUGCUUUGGGUACUUUCAGGACCCGUCUUGAAACACGGACCAAGGAGUCUAACAUGUGCGCGAGUCAUUGGGUUGAAACUAAACCUAAAGGCGCAAUGAAAGUGAAGGUCGUUUCUUUGCGUCGACCGAGGGAGGAUGGCUUGCGUCACGAUGUAAGCCCGCACUCCCGGGGUGUGCUACA
Molecule: ribosomal RNA, 590 nt
Filed under: Encarsia aurantii
Lineage: Eukaryota; Metazoa; Arthropoda; Insecta; Hymenoptera; Aphelinidae
Description: LSU rRNA
Rfam family: Eukaryotic large subunit ribosomal RNA
Source: RNAcentral